This 253-nucleotide ribosomal RNA is filed under the name uncultured bacterium. RNAcentral's name for it is "partial 16S ribosomal RNA". It matches the Rfam family "Bacterial small subunit ribosomal RNA", at positions 524 to 776 of the family's 1533-position model. The record is from RNAcentral.
UGCGAAGGGGGCUAGCGUUGUUCGGAUUUACUGGGCGUAAAGCGCACGUAGGCGGAUCGUUAAGUCGGGGGUGAAAUCCUGGAGCUCAACUCCAGAACUGCCUUCGAUACUGGCGAUCUAGAGUCCGGAAGAGGUGAGUGGAACUCCUAGUGUAGAGGUGGAAUUCGUAGAUAUUAGGAAGAACACCAGUGGCGAAGGCGGCUCACUGGUCCGGUACUGACGCUGAGGUGCGAAAGCGUGGGGAGCAAACAGG